This 364-nucleotide ribosomal RNA is filed under the name Escherichia coli. Its description in RNAcentral is "bacterial SSU rRNA". It matches the Rfam family "Bacterial small subunit ribosomal RNA", at positions 1 to 361 of the family's 1533-position model. The record is from RNAcentral. Lineage: Bacteria; Pseudomonadati; Pseudomonadota; Gammaproteobacteria; Enterobacterales; Enterobacteriaceae.
AAAUUGAAGAGUUUGAUCAUGGCUCAGAUUGAACGCUGGCGGCAGGCCUAACACAUGCAAGUCGAACGGUAACAGGAAUCAGCUUGCUGAUUUGCUGACGAGUGGCGGACGGGUGAGUAAUGUCUGGGAAACUGCCUGAUGGAGGGGGAUAACUACUGGAAACGGUAGCUAAUACCGCAUAACGUCGCAAGACCAAAGAGGGGGACCUUCGGGCCUCUUGCCAUCGGAUGUGCCCAGAUGGGAUUAGCUAGUAGGUGGGGUAAAGGCUCACCUAGGCGACGAUCCCUAGCUGGUCUGAGAGGAUGACCAGCCACACUGGAACUGAGACACGGUCCAGACUCCUACGGGAGGCAGCAGUGGGGAA